GGUUGUGGCUCUGCGGUAGAGUGCUCGCCUCGCACGUGCGAGACCCUGGGUUCAAUCCUCAGCACCA
This 67-nucleotide transfer RNA is filed under the name Marmota monax (woodchuck). RNAcentral describes it as "tRNA.Ala". Lineage: Eukaryota; Metazoa; Chordata; Mammalia; Rodentia; Sciuridae. The record is from RNAcentral.